RNAcentral lists this ribosomal RNA (485 nucleotides) under uncultured bacterium. RNAcentral's name for it is "bacterial SSU rRNA". It matches the Rfam family "Bacterial small subunit ribosomal RNA", at positions 501 to 985 of the family's 1533-position model. The record is from RNAcentral.
CUACGUGCCAGCAGCCGCGGUAAUACGUAGGUCCCGAGCGUUGUCCGGAUUUAUUGGGCGUAAAGCGAGCGCAGGCGGUUAGAUAAGUCUGAAGUUAAAGGCUGUGGCUUAACCAUAGUACGCUUUGGAAACUGUUUAACUUGAGUGCAAGAGGGGAGAGUGGAAUUCCAUGUGUAGCGGUGAAAUGCGUAGAUAUAUGGAGGAACACCGGUGGCGAAAGCGGCUCUCUGGCUUGUAACUGACGCUGAGGCUCGAAAGCGUGGGGAGCAAACAGGAUUAGAUACCCUGGUAGUCCACGCCGUAAACGAUGAGUGCUAGGUGUUAGACCCUUUCCGGGGUUUAGUGCCGCAGCUAACGCAUUAAGCACUCCGCCUGGGGAGUACGACCGCAAGGUUAAAACUCAAAUGAAUUGACGGGGGCCCGCACAAGCGGUGGAGCAUGUGGUUUAAUUCGAUGCAACGCGAAGAACCUUACCUGGUCUUGAC